UGGGGAAUAUUGGACAAUGGGGGCAACCCUGAUCCAGCAAUGCCGCGUGAGUGAUGAAGGCCUUAGGGUUGUAAAGCUCUUUUGGCGGGGACGAUGAUGACGGUACCCGCAGAAUAAGCCCCGGCUAACUUCGUGCCAGCAGCCGCGGUAAUACGAAGGGGGCGAGCGUUGUUCGGAAUUACUGGGCGUAAAGGGCGCGUAGGCGGCCGAUCAAGUCAGAUGUGAAAGUCCUGGGCUCAACCUGGGGACUGCAUUUGAUACUGAUUGGCUUGAAUCCGGGAGAGGAUAGCGGAAUUCCCAGUGUAGAGGUGAAAUUCGUAGAUAUUGGGAAGAACACCAGUGGCGAAGGCGGCUAUCUGGACCGGCAUUGACGCUGAGGCGCGAAAGCGUGGGGAGCAAACAG
This 403-nucleotide ribosomal RNA is filed under the name uncultured bacterium. Its description in RNAcentral is "bacterial SSU rRNA". It matches the Rfam family "Bacterial small subunit ribosomal RNA", at positions 355 to 775 of the family's 1533-position model. The record is from RNAcentral.